UGGCUAACUCCUACGGGAGGCAGCAGUGGGGAAUAUUGGACAAUGGACCGAGAGUCUGAUCCAGCAAUUCUGUGUGCACGAUGAAGUUUUUCGGAAUGUAAAGUGCUUUCAGUUGGGAAGAAAGAAAUGACGGUACCAACAGAAGAAGUGACGGCUAAAUACGUGCCAGCAGCCGCGGUAAUACGUAUGUCACGAGCGUUAUCCGGAUUUAUUGGGCGUAAAGCGCGUCUAGGUGGUUAUGUAAGUCUGAUGUGAAAAUGCAGUGCUCAACUCUGUAUUGCGUUGGAAACUGUAUAACUAGAGUACUGGAGAGGUAAGCGGAACUACAAGUGUAGAGGUGAAAUUCGUAGAUAUUUGUAGGAAUGCCGAUGGGGAAGCCAGCUUACUGGACAGAUACUGACGCUAAAGCGCGAAAGCGUGGGUAGCAAACAGGAUUAGAAACCCGGGUAGUCCAGCUGG
Molecule: ribosomal RNA, 459 nt
Filed under: uncultured bacterium
Lineage: Bacteria
Description: bacterial SSU rRNA
Rfam family: Bacterial small subunit ribosomal RNA
Source: RNAcentral